This 253-nucleotide ribosomal RNA is filed under the name uncultured bacterium. RNAcentral describes it as "partial 16S ribosomal RNA". It matches the Rfam family "Bacterial small subunit ribosomal RNA", at positions 524 to 776 of the family's 1533-position model. The record is from RNAcentral.
UACGGAGGGUGCGAGCGUUGUCCGGAAUUACUGGGCGUAAAGAGCUCGUAGGUGGUUUGUCGCGUUGUUCGUGAAAACUCACAGCUUAACUGUGGGCGUGCGGGCGAUACGGGCAGACUGGAGUACUGCAGGGGAGACUGGAAUUCCUGGUGUAGCGGUGGAAUGCGCAGAUAUCUGGAGGAACACCGGUGGCGAAGGCGGCAUCCUGGACCAACACUGUCACUGAGGAGCGAAAGCCAGGGGAGCAAACGGG